ACAAGGAAACAAUACAGCAGAACCUCAGAGUUACAAACACCAGAGUUACAAACUGACUGGUCAACCACACAUCUCAUAUGAAACCAGAAUCACGCAAUCAGUUUAAUCAAUGAUAGUCUGUGUUUAAGGAACCAUUCCAGCUAUACCCACAAAUCACAUGGAAAAUAUUGGAACAUUGUUGGUGUCAGUACAGAUAACACCUUUACUUGUAUG
This is a long non-coding RNA of Mauremys reevesii (Reeves's turtle), 213 nucleotides long. RefSeq lists it as uncharacterized. The transcript is spliced from 3 exons. Lineage: Eukaryota; Metazoa; Chordata; Testudines; Geoemydidae. The record is from RefSeq and is a predicted model, not a curated record.